RNAcentral lists this ribosomal RNA (490 nucleotides) under uncultured bacterium. RNAcentral describes it as "bacterial SSU rRNA". It matches the Rfam family "Bacterial small subunit ribosomal RNA", at positions 501 to 987 of the family's 1533-position model. The record is from RNAcentral.
CUACGUGCCAGCAGCCGCGGUAAUACGUAGGGCGCGAGCGUUGUCCGGAAUUAUUGGGCGUAAAGAGCUUGUAGGCGGUUUGUCGCGUCUGCUGUGAAAGGCCGGGGCUUAACUCCGUGUAUUGCAGUGGGUACGGGCAGACUAGAGUGCAGUAGGGGAGACUGGAAUUCCUGGUGUAGCGGUGGAAUGCGCAGAUAUCAGGAGGAACACCGAUGGCGAAGGCAGGUCUCUGGGCUGUAACUGACGCUGAGAAGCGAAAGCAUGGGGAGCGAACAGGAUUAGAUACCCUAGUAGUCCAUGCCGUAAACGUUGGGCACUAGGUGUGGGGGACAUUCCACGUUUUCCGCGCCGUAGCUAACGCAUUAAGUGCCCCGCCUGGGGAGUACGGCCGCAAGGCUAAAACUCAAAGAAAUUGACGGGGGCCCGCACAAGCGGCGGAGCAUGCGGAUUAAUUCGAUGCAACGCGAAGAACCUUACCAAGGCUUGACAU